UGAUGACCAGGCUUGAUUUGCUUGU
RNAcentral lists this non-coding RNA (25 nucleotides) under Rattus norvegicus (Norway rat). Lineage: Eukaryota; Metazoa; Chordata; Mammalia; Rodentia; Muridae. The record is from RNAcentral.